This 391-nucleotide ribosomal RNA is filed under the name uncultured bacterium. RNAcentral's name for it is "bacterial SSU rRNA". It matches the Rfam family "Bacterial small subunit ribosomal RNA", at positions 552 to 941 of the family's 1533-position model. The record is from RNAcentral.
UAUUGGGCGUAAAGCGUCCGCAGGUGGCCAUUCAAGUCUGCUGUCAAAGCGCGAGGCUCAACCUUGUAAAGGCAGUGGAAACUGAAUAGCUAGAGUAUGGUAGGGGCAGAGGGAAUUCCCAGUGUAGCGGUGAAAUGCGUAGAGAUUGGGAAGAACACCGGUGGCGAAAGCGCUCUGCUAGGCCAAAACUGACACUGAGGGACGAAAGCUAGGGGAGCGAAUGGGAUUAGAUACCCCAGUAGUCCUAGCCGUAAACGAUGGAUACUAGGUGUAGCUUGUAUCGACCCAAGCUGUGCCGUAGCUAACGCGUUAAGUAUCCCGCCUGGGGAGUACGCGCGCAAGCGUGAAACUCAAAGGAAUUGACGGGGGCCCGCACAAGCGGUAAUCGAAU